RNAcentral lists this ribosomal RNA (663 nucleotides) under uncultured Candidatus Poseidoniales archaeon. RNAcentral's name for it is "bacterial SSU rRNA". It matches the Rfam family "Archaeal small subunit ribosomal RNA", at positions 1 to 670 of the family's 1478-position model. The record is from RNAcentral. Lineage: Archaea; Methanobacteriati; Thermoplasmatota; Candidatus Poseidoniia; Candidatus Poseidoniales.
UUCCGGUUGAUCCUGCCGGAGGCUACCGCUAUUGGAGUUCGAUUAAGCCAUGCGAGUCGAGAGUCUUAGGGACUCGGCGUACCGCUCAGUAACACGUGGGUAACCUGCCCUAUGCUGGGGAAUAACCUCGGGAAACUGAGAAUAAUACCCCAUAGUUCACCACGCCUGGAACGGUGGGUGGAUGAAAGCUCCGGCGGCAUAGGAUGGGCCUGCGACGUAUCAGGUUGUAGGGGGUGUAACGUACCCUCUAGCCAUCAACGCGUACGGGUGUUGGGAGACAUAGCCCGGAGAUGGAUUCUGAGACACGAAUCCAGACCCUACGGGGUGCAGCAGGCGCGAAAACUUGGCAAUGCGAGCAAUCGUGACCAGGGAACUCCAAGUGGCUGGGGUAAUACCCAGUUUUUUCUUGACUCUUCAAAGGUCUUGGAAUAAGGGGUGGGUAAGGACGGUGCCAGCCGCCGCGGUAAUACCGGCGCCUCAAGUGGUAGUCGCUUUUAUUGGGCCUAAAACGUCCGUAGCCGGUCUGGUGCAUUCGUGGGUAAAUCAACCCGCUCAACGGGUUGAAUUCUGCGAGCACGGCCAGACUUGGGACCGGGAGAGGUGUGGGGUACUCUCAGGGUAGGGGUAAAAUCCUGUCAUCCUGGGAGGACCACCUGUUGCGAA